UUACGGCCAUAUGACGUUGAAAUCCCGGUUCCCGUACAAUCACCGAAGUUAAGCAAAGUUGAGUUUGGUCAGUAUCUCGAUGGGCGACCACUUGGAAAUACCAGGUGCUGUAAG
Non-coding RNA from Acanthosepion pharaonis, 114 nucleotides. Lineage: Eukaryota; Metazoa; Mollusca; Cephalopoda; Sepiida; Sepiidae. The record is from the annotation of a GenBank genome assembly.